UUCAUAUUAGGUGAUUGAUCAUUUGAUAGACAGGGCAUGUGCCAAGUGCGGUCACGAUGGACUUCAUUUCCACACCAGGCAAGCACGAUCAGCUGAUAAAGAACAAAUCGUCUUCUAUUUCUGCCAUCAUGCAAGCAUCAAGAGAUUGAGUACUCCUGAAGAGAAUCAACA
Molecule: long non-coding RNA, 171 nt
Organism: Asterias rubens (European starfish)
Lineage: Eukaryota; Metazoa; Echinodermata; Asteroidea; Forcipulatida; Asteriidae
Exons: 3
Source: RefSeq, a predicted model, not a curated record